GCCCAUGUAGUUUAACCAAAAAUUUAACACUGAAGAUGUUAAGAUAGACCGUAGAAAGUCUCGUGAGCA
RNAcentral lists this transfer RNA (69 nucleotides) under Evermannella ahlstromi. RNAcentral describes it as "tRNA-Phe". Lineage: Eukaryota; Metazoa; Chordata; Actinopteri; Aulopiformes; Evermannellidae. The record is from RNAcentral.